Pangasianodon gigas (Mekong giant catfish) is the source of this 73-nucleotide non-coding RNA. Lineage: Eukaryota; Metazoa; Chordata; Actinopteri; Siluriformes; Pangasiidae. The record is from the annotation of a GenBank genome assembly.
AGCAUAGUGGCUUAAUGUUUAGCAUGUCUGACUCACACCUCCGGGGUUGGGGGUUCGAUUCCCACCUCUGCCC